GGAGGCGAAGUGGCGACAUGGAGCGAAUCCAAAAACAACGCCCCAGUUCGGAUUGUAGUCUGCAACCCGACUACAUGGAGCCGGAAUCGCUAGUAAUCGCGGAUCAGAAUGCCGCGGUGAAUACGUUCCCGGGUCUUGUACACACCGCCCGUCACACCAUGGGAGUCGGGAAUGCCCGAAGUCAGUGACCCAACCCAAGGGAGGGAGCUGCCGAAGGCAGGCCUGGUGACUGGGGUGAAGUCGUAACAAGGUAAC
RNAcentral lists this ribosomal RNA (255 nucleotides) under uncultured bacterium. RNAcentral describes it as "partial 16S ribosomal RNA". It matches the Rfam family "Bacterial small subunit ribosomal RNA", at positions 1245 to 1500 of the family's 1533-position model. The record is from RNAcentral.